This 3117-nucleotide long non-coding RNA is filed under the name Homo sapiens (human). Its description in RNAcentral is "PREDICTED lncRNA (TCONS_00183008)". The record is from RNAcentral. Lineage: Eukaryota; Metazoa; Chordata; Mammalia; Primates; Hominidae.
CUUACUGGUAGGAGUUUUUGUUGGCUUAGAACCCUCCGUCUCUUUUUCAUCUGUGUAUUUCAGUGCUCUUUUAGCUAGAGGCCUGGUGACUGGUCUAUCUGAAUUGCUCGUGGGAUUCUGAAUGUACUUGCAAGUGGGCAAAUAGAGGUCAUCGGAAUCAUCUCCUGAACCACUUGAUUCACAGAGGCUCACUUCAGACUCGUUGUUUUCUUCUCUAUUAGAGUCAUUGCUCACUUUUUGUCGGAAAGGAGUAAGAUGAACACCCUCUUCCAAAUUAAAAUUUAAACGUUCCUGGCUGAAUCAGCUUUGGUGAUAAGUUAACUUGGUCCUUGCUCCAUUGACAAGCAUUGUGUUGUACAUUUUCAGGGACUCCAGGAAGGCCGGGGGGAGGUGGGGCUGGCGGAAGUGGACGCGGCGACCCUCCUGCCGCAGGCGCGUCCAGAACGAUACCUUGGCCACUACUUCUGCAACAGCUAUCUUCCUCCUCCUCACAUUUCAAGGCUCUUCGAAGCUCUCCAGCCACGGCUAGCCCCGCGCACUGGGCCCUCCAGGACCGUACCACCGUCCGCCGUCGCCUGGAACUACCGCCGCCACAUUCGAAAUUUUCCGCCUCGCUCCUCCAUUGGUUGGCUGGGAGGCGGUCACGUGGCGCAGGAUGCACCCAACACCACCGUCGCAGGCAGAGUCCCGCCCCGCCAGGCGACGUCACGUGACGCACAUUCGCUCAAGUCCACAUCCGGGCAUCCACCUGGCCCUGGGGCGGAGCCUGCGGUCGGGUCUCGGCGACCCGCCGGGACUUUCUAAUCAGAGUCGUGGGGAUUUUACGGGUGGAGUUACUCCGAAACCUUUAAGGCCGAGUGUGAUAGGUAGUUCAAAGCUUCCUGUUUCUUCAGUCUGACAGCUUCAAAUGUCCCGGGUUGUGCUCAAAGCCUCCCUCUUGUGAGAAGAAUCUCUUUGGUUGCCUGUUAAAGCGGUCAGCCAGCUUGCAACACGGAAGCAGCUUUUAGAGGAAUUAAAACCAAAACAAGGAGCAAAUUCUGGAUUAAAAAGAUAUUUGCAACCAUUCUUCCAAUCAAUUUUAGAAAAUUUCCACCACCUCAAAAAGAAAUCCUGAUGAAGAAACAUCCUGAGAAGGUUGACAUGCUGAAUGCCUUAAAGAACUUCAAUUGGGAUGCCAGAUGAAAGUGUAACUAGAAUUUCUAUGGCUUAAAUAACGAGAGCUGGAGUGCAGUAGCAUGAUCAUGGCUCACUGCUGCCUCGACCUCCCGGGCUCAGAGAUUCUCUUGCCUCAGCCUCCUGAGUAGCUGGGACCACAGAGUUUCACUCUUGUUGCCCAGGCUGGAGUACAAUGGCAUGAUCUCGGCUCACUGAAACCUCUGCCUCCUGGGUUCAUUCAAGCGAUUCUCCUGCCUCAGCCUCCUGAGUAGCUGGGAUUACAGGCAUGCACCACCACGCCCGGCUAAUUUUGUAUUUUUAGUGGAGAUGGGGUUUCUCUAUGUUGGUGAGGCUAGUCUCGAACUCCUGACCUCAGGUGAUCCACCUGCCUUGGCCUCCCAAAGUGCUGGGAUUACAGGCAUGGGCUACUGCGCCUGGCCUGUAUCUCCAAUUCUUUACAUAUGCCUGACGAACUGCUAUUCCAUCUUGUAGGGCUAAAAUCAAAUUUUUUUUCAUUUUUGGGAAGCCUCCUCUACAUACCUCCACCUUCUAACUCCAAGAAGUCAAAAUGAAGUCUCACCAUAUUGAUCAGACUGGUCUUGAAGUCCUGGCUUCAAAUGAUCUUCCCUCCUCAGCCUCCCAAACUGCUGGGAUUAUAGAUCUUGCAGACAACAGAUCAUGGAACUUCUUGGCCUCCAUAAUCUCAUGAGCCAAUUUCUAUAUUCCAUAGGGGAAAGAAGGAGAGCUGAGAAUGCACAGAAAUUUUCAUGUGCCAAGUUUGGAAGUGCAAAAAGACCUUUAGGUGCGGGCCCUCUGUCUUGGACUUCUCAACCUCCAGAACAAUGGUGUCAGAAGCAGGAUCCCAAGCAGAGCUUCUAGUGACCUCCAGGAGCGCUGAGUGAACACUCGAGGUACCAGCACUCGAGGACCCACUUGUGUCCAUGGAUCUCUCAGAGCGGCUCCGGAUGGUAAAAAGCAAUUUGAAGGGGUGUUCUAUACUUUGGCAGAGGAAACCCAUUCCCUCUCAAGGAGAAGCAGUGGACACAGUCUCCGAAGUUGAGAGCCAUUUGAGAAUCAGUUGAGAAGUUUGAGAACCAGGUAUGUGGGGCUUUGGUAUCAGGAUGAUGCUGGCCUCAUAAAAUGAGUUCAGGAGGAUUCCCUCUUUUUCUAUUGAUUGGAAUAGUUUCAGAAGGAAUGGUACCAGCUCCUCCUUGUACCUCUGGUAGAAUUUGGCUGUGAAUCCAUCUGGUCCUGGACUUUUUUUGGUUGGGGGUCCUGAAACCAAUCCUUCGUGGAUACCCAGGGACAAUUCUAUCUGGCUGGAUUCUGGGAAGUGAACUUAUGGAAUCAAAGGUUAUGCAAACAUUUUUGAGACUUAGACUGGCUCUCCUUGCUCCUCAAGCUUGUAGACAGCCUAUUGUGGGACCUUGUGAUCAUACUUGAAACACUUGUACAUCAGCUCAGAGUGUGCAUUGUCCACUGCAAAUACUAGUGCAAAUUAAGAAGAAGAGAAAAAAGAAGGUCCACGAGCUACCAAUGACAUCUAGGACUGCUUCUGUCUCAUAGCACAUACUCCUCCCACAAGGACUACAAAUGACAAGAGAAAAUUUGUAUAAUUGGAAUUCUGGACAUUUCUCAAAUGCUCAUUGACUCAAAUACUUUCUGCUGUAUUUGGAAUUUUCAAACCAAAACAUGAUAGCAACCAGACCAGAAAAAUGUAAUUGACCAGAAAUGUCCUACAAUAUUUACAAUAUACUCAUUUUUCUGCAUGUUCAAUUUUAAAAGUUGGGUAUUCUGUACUGGAAUCUAAUGGGAUUUGACUAAUAAUCCUCACAAAAAUGAUGCCAGGAUGUUCUUCAGCUUUUGAUAGACUUUAAAAUACACAGGCAGCAUAAUCUUGAGCAAGAAAAGAGCUGACUUUCUGUACAGGAGAAAUAAAGAAUAGUGUAGCACUUGACAACC